CUGCUCACUUCAGCAGCACAUAUACUAAAAUCGGAACAAUACAGAGGAGAUUAGCAUGGCCCCUGCGCAAGGAUGACAUGCAAAUUCGUGAAGCAUUCCUUUUUUUU
This 107-nucleotide small nuclear RNA is filed under the name Gavia stellata (red-throated loon). The record is from RNAcentral. Lineage: Eukaryota; Metazoa; Chordata; Aves; Gaviiformes; Gaviidae.